UGGGGAAUAUUGCACAAUGGGGAACCCGUAGCAUGCAGCGACGCCGCGUGAAGGAUGAAGUAUUUCGGUAUGUAAACUUCUAUCAGCAGGGAAGAAAAUGACGGUACCUGACUAAGAAGCCCCGGCUAACUACGUGCCAGCAGCCGCGGUAAUACGUAGGGGCAAGCGGUUAUCCGGAUUUACUGGGUGUAAAGGGAGCGUAGACGGCAUGGCAAGUCUGAAGUGAAAGCCCGGGGCUCAACCCCGGACUGCUUUGGAAACUGUUGGGCUAGAGUGCUGGAGAGGCAAGCGGAAUUCCUAGUGUAGCGGUGAAAUGCGUAGAUAUUAGGAGGAACACCAGUGGCGAAGGCGGCUUACUGGACGGUAACUGACGUUGAGGCUCGAAAGCGUGGGGAGCAAACAGGAUUAGAUACCC
This 415-nucleotide ribosomal RNA is filed under the name uncultured bacterium. RNAcentral's name for it is "bacterial SSU rRNA". It matches the Rfam family "Bacterial small subunit ribosomal RNA", at positions 355 to 787 of the family's 1533-position model. The record is from RNAcentral.